This 156-nucleotide ribosomal RNA is filed under the name Staphylococcus epidermidis. RNAcentral describes it as "partial 23S ribosomal RNA". It matches the Rfam family "Bacterial large subunit ribosomal RNA", at positions 2776 to 2925 of the family's 2925-position model. Lineage: Bacteria; Bacillati; Bacillota; Bacilli; Caryophanales; Staphylococcaceae. The record is from RNAcentral.
AGCAUCUAAGCAUGAAGCCCCCCUGAAGAUGAGUUGUCCCAACUUCGGUUAUAAGAUCCCUCGAAGAUGACGAGGUUAAUAGGUUCGAGGUGGAAGCGUGGUGACACGUGGAGCUGACGAAUACUAAUCGAUCGAAGACUUAAUCAAUUUUUUAAA